AGGUCCCAUCUCCCACACCGGCCACCACUCCAGGAUUUGGUACACAGCUCUCACAUGUUUCUCUUUGGAUGUUGAAGCCUCCUGAGUGUUCUUGGAAGACGUAGGAGCUAAUGUAACGGGGACAGAAUGACCUGAAGAAUAGUCAGGAAGCGACCACGAUUUCCUCCUGGUCUCACCAGGCCCAGUGACACUCCAACAGUCUAAUGGGGAUCCAUGCCUGCACCGUCCAGCUCUGGAAUAGCCUAGCCACGGUCAGUGCUUGUCUGUCUGAGGAAGAAAUGGAAGAUGAGAGUCCUACAGCACUCUAGGAGGGAUAUAAGAGGCUAGCCCACUGAGGAUCUGGACAGAGCAAUACAGGAGGGUGCAAAAUCCAAGUACCAUGAGCAGCUGUGUGCUUGGGUUAUGGUUGGGAGAAAACCCCACAUGAGGGGGUGCAGAACUCAGGUCCAGCUCUGAUACCAAAAAAUCAGCACAGCUAGGCUGUCCUCUUGGAACCCUCAGGGCUCCCUCCUGGGUAGUGCUGCUGACUCACAAGAGCUCCUGGGCUGGUAUUGAGAAGUAGGCUUAGUGCCUAGGGAAUAAGACCUGUGUGUAAAGAAUGUGACAUCUCUGUCUGUCCACUCUGUUGUUCAGUUGCAUUCAAGACAGUCUGGAAUAUCAGACUGACAGCAUCGUUUCAGAGCUUCUUAAGACACAGAUACUUGGGGCUUACACUGCUGGUGAUGUGAGAGUUUGAGGUGGGCUUGGGAAUGGACGCCAUGAUUCUGUCAGGGCCCCCAGAUCACUAAGUGUGUGGCCAACUCAACCGAUUUGCACACACUAACUGCCUGUAGUUGCCUUCAUGUUUCCUGCUUUUUCCUUCAGAGUGUUAUGUAAUUAAAACCGAGCUCGUGGGCGAGGGACUCAAGAGGGGCAGGGAGGGAAUAAGGGUGCAAUUAGAUGUUUCUCCAGUAGCCUGACAGAGGGUUAUUUCAGCCUGUAGUGCGGCAGGUGGGGUCCCUUCUGACAAUGCCAGAACAGCUCAUGAAUCUCCCUCCCAUCUCACUAAAUGUUUGCCCACAGGCAAGACUCUCCUUGCUUCUUGGUGAUGAUGCUGUGAAACCCUGCCUCCCCCCAGCCCUGCCUGCUGAGUAAUUUAUGGGACCCAGAGGACAAGGAAAGUAAUUGGGUUUUGUUUUCCCAC
Long non-coding RNA from Peromyscus eremicus (cactus mouse), 1183 nucleotides. RefSeq lists it as uncharacterized. The transcript has 3 exons. The record is from RefSeq and is a predicted model, not a curated record. Lineage: Eukaryota; Metazoa; Chordata; Mammalia; Rodentia; Cricetidae.